RNAcentral lists this ribosomal RNA (494 nucleotides) under uncultured bacterium. RNAcentral's name for it is "partial 16S ribosomal RNA". It matches the Rfam family "Bacterial small subunit ribosomal RNA", at positions 28 to 506 of the family's 1533-position model. The record is from RNAcentral.
GAUGAACGCUGGCGGCGUGCCUAAUACAUGCAAGUAGAACGCUGAAGGAGGAGCUUGCUCUUCUGGAUGAGUUGCGAACGGGUGAGUAACGCGUAGGUAACCUGCCUGGUAGCGGGGGAUAACUAUUGGAAACGAUAGCUAAUACCGCAUGACAACAGUUAUUGCAUGAUAACUGUUUAAAAGGGGCAACUGCUCCACUACCAGAUGGACCUGCGUUGUAUUAGCUAGUUGGUGAGGUAACGGCUCACCAAGGCGACGAUACAUAGCCGACCUGAGAGGGUGAUCGGCCACACUGGGACUGAGACACGGCCCAGACUCCUACGGGAGGCAGCAGUAGGGAAUCUUCGGCAAUGGGCGGAAGUCUGACCGAGCAACGCCGCGUGAGUGAAGAAGGUUUUCGGAUCGUAAAGCUCUGUUGUAAGAGAAGAACGAGUGUGAGAGUGGAAAGUUCACACUGUGACGGUAUCUUACCAGAAAGGGACGGCUAACUACGU